This 88-nucleotide transfer RNA is filed under the name Halioglobus sp. RNAcentral describes it as "tRNA-Ser". It matches the Rfam family "tRNA". From Rfam's summary of the family: Transfer RNA (tRNA) molecules are approximately 80 nucleotides in length. Lineage: Bacteria; Pseudomonadati; Pseudomonadota; Gammaproteobacteria; Cellvibrionales; Halieaceae. RNAcentral also lists the same sequence under 1 other name. The record is from RNAcentral.
GGUGAGGUGGCCGAGUGGCCGAAGGCGCACGCCUGGAAAGUGUGUAACGGGUAACCGUUCGAGAGUUCGAAUCUCUCCCUCACCGCCA